UACAGAGGUCCCAAGCGUUGUUCGGAUUCACUGGGCGUAAAGGGUGCGUAGGUGGUAAGGCAAGUCGGAUGUGAAAUCUCCGGGCUUAACCCGGAAAUGGCAUUGGAAACUGCCUUGCUAGAGGAUUUGAGGGGGGACUGGAAUACUUGGUGUAGCAGUGAAAUGCGUAGAUAUCAAGUGGAACACCAGUGGCGAAGGCGAGUCCCUGGAAAAUACCUGACACUGAGGCACGAAAGCUAGGGGAGCAAACAGG
RNAcentral lists this ribosomal RNA (253 nucleotides) under uncultured bacterium. Its description in RNAcentral is "partial 16S ribosomal RNA". It matches the Rfam family "Bacterial small subunit ribosomal RNA", at positions 524 to 776 of the family's 1533-position model. The record is from RNAcentral.